AUUGAACGCUGGCGGCAUGCCUAACACAUGCAAGUCGAACGACAGCACGGGUGCUUGCACCUGGUGGCGAGUGGCGAACGGGGGAGUAAUACAUCGGGACAUGUUCUCUAGUGGGGGAUAGUCCGGCGAAAGCCGGAGUAAUACCGCAUACGAUCCUCUGAUGAAAGCUGGGGACCUUCUGGCCUCGCGUUUUGGGGUUGGUCGAUGGCUGAUUAGCUAGUUGGUGGGGUAACGGCCUACCAAGGCGACGACCAGUAGCCGGUCUGAGAGGGAGACCAGCCACACUGGAACUGAGACACGGCCCAGACUCCUACGGGAGGCAGCAGUGGGGAAUUUUGCGCAAAGGGCGAAAGCUUGAUCGAGCAACGCCGCGUGAGUGAUGAAGGUCUUCGGAUUGUAAAACACUUUUGUCCGGAAAGAACUAAUUUGCUCUAAUCCAGUCGGGGGAUGACGGUACCGGAAGAAUAAGCCCCGGCUAACUACGUG
RNAcentral lists this ribosomal RNA (486 nucleotides) under uncultured bacterium. RNAcentral describes it as "partial 16S ribosomal RNA". It matches the Rfam family "Bacterial small subunit ribosomal RNA", at positions 30 to 507 of the family's 1533-position model. The record is from RNAcentral.